This 548-nucleotide ribosomal RNA is filed under the name uncultured bacterium. Its description in RNAcentral is "bacterial SSU rRNA". It matches the Rfam family "Bacterial small subunit ribosomal RNA", at positions 355 to 896 of the family's 1533-position model. The record is from RNAcentral.
UAGGGAAUCUUCGGCAAUGGGGGCAACCCUGACCGAGCAACGCCGCGUGAGUGAAGAAGGUUUUCGGAUCGUAAAGCUCUGUUGUAAGUCAAGAACGAGUGUGAGAGUGGAAAGUUCACACUGUGACGGUAGCUUACCAGAAAGGGACGGCUAACUACGUGCCAGCAGCCGCGGUAAUACGUAGGUCCCGAGCGUUGUCCGGAUUUAUUGGGCGUAAAGCGGGCGCAGGCGGUUUGAUAAGUCUGAAGUUAAAGGCUGUGGCUCAACCAUAGUUCGCUUUGGAAACUGUCAAACUUGAGUGCAGAAGGGGAGAGUGGAAUUCCAUGUGUAGCGGUGAAAUGCGUAGAUAUAUGGAGGAACACCGGUGGCGAAAGCGGCUCUCUGGUCUGUAACUGACGCUGAGGCGCGAAAGCGUGGGGAGCAAACAGGAUUAGAUACCCUGGUAGUCCACGCCGUAAACGAUGAGUGCUAAGUGUUGGUCUCAUAAGAGAUCAGUGCUGCAGCUAACGCAUUAAGCACUCCGCCUGGGGAGUACGACCGCAAGGUUG